RNAcentral lists this ribosomal RNA (729 nucleotides) under uncultured Actinomycetes bacterium. RNAcentral describes it as "bacterial SSU rRNA". It matches the Rfam family "Bacterial small subunit ribosomal RNA", at positions 62 to 795 of the family's 1533-position model. The record is from RNAcentral. Lineage: Bacteria; Bacillati; Actinomycetota; Actinomycetes.
UCGAGCGAAGCUUUUCAGUAGUUUACUACAGAAAAUGACUGAGCGGCGAACGGGUGAGUAACGCGUGAGCAAUCUACCUUAGUUACAGGGAUAGCCCGAGGAAACUCGGAUUAAUACCUGAUAUUCUUUUUAUCUCGCAUGAGAUUUUAAGGAAAGGUCAGCCGAACUAAGAUGAGCUCGCGUUCUAUCAGCUAGUUGGUGAGGUAAUAGCUCACCAAGGCUACGACGGAUAGCUGGUCUGAGAGGACGAUCAGCCACACUGGGACUGAGACACGGCCCAGACUCCUACGGGAGGCUGCAGCAGGGAAUAUUGCGCAAUGAGCGAAAGCUUGACGCAGCGACACCGCGUGUGGGAUGACGGAUCUAGGUUUGUAAACCACUUUCAGGAGGGAAGAAAAUGACGGUACCUCCACAAGAAGCCCCGGCCAACUACGUGCCAGCAGCCGCGGUAAUACGUAGGGGGCGAGCGUUGUCCGGAUUUAUUGGGCGUAAAGAGCUCGUAGGCGGUUCAACAAGUCGGUCGUGAAAGUUCAGGGCUCAACCCUGAAAUGUCGAUCGAUACUGUUGUGACUAGGAUACGGUAGAGGUGGGUGGAAUUCCGAGUGUAGCGGUGAAAUGCGUAGAUAUUCGGAGGAACACCAAUUGCGAAGGCAGCUCACUGGGCCGCUAUCGACGCUGAGGAGCGAAAGCUAGGGGAGCAAACAGGAUUAGAUACCCUGGUAGAAGGGC